UCAGAUUGAACGCUGGCGGCAGGCCUAACACAUGCAAGUCGAACGGUAACAGGAAGCAGCUUGCUGCUUYGCUGACGAGUGGCGGACGGGUGAGUAAUGUCUGGGAAACUGCCUGAUGGAGGGGGAUAACUACUGGAAACGGUGGCUAAUACCGCAUAACGUCGCAAGACCAAAGAGGGGGACCUUCGGGCCUCUUGCCAUCAGAUGUGCCCAGAUGGGAUUAGCUKGUUGGUGAGGUAACGGCUCACCAAGGCGACGAUCCCUAGCUGGUCUGAGAGGAUGACCAGCCACACUGGAACUGAGACACGGUCCAGACUCCUACGGGAGGCAGCAGUGGGGAAUAUUGCACAAUGGGCGCAAGCCUGAUGCAGCCAUGCCGCGUGUAUGAAGAAGGCCUUCGGGUUGUAAAGUACUUUCAGCGGGGAGGAAGGUGUUGYGGUUAAUAACCRCAGCAAUUGACGUUACCCGCAGAAGAAGCACCGGCUAACU
This 489-nucleotide ribosomal RNA is filed under the name Salmonella enterica subsp. enterica serovar Kentucky. RNAcentral describes it as "bacterial SSU rRNA". It matches the Rfam family "Bacterial small subunit ribosomal RNA", at positions 24 to 502 of the family's 1533-position model. Lineage: Bacteria; Pseudomonadati; Pseudomonadota; Gammaproteobacteria; Enterobacterales; Enterobacteriaceae. The record is from RNAcentral.